RNAcentral lists this ribosomal RNA (431 nucleotides) under uncultured bacterium. RNAcentral's name for it is "partial 16S ribosomal RNA". It matches the Rfam family "Bacterial small subunit ribosomal RNA", at positions 29 to 507 of the family's 1533-position model. The record is from RNAcentral.
AACGAACGCUGGCGGCAGGCUUAACACAUGCCAGUCGAGCGCCCCGCAAGGGGAGCGGCAGAUGGGUGAGUAACGCGUGGGAACGUACCUUUUGGUUCGGAACAACUCCGGGAAACUGGAGCUAAUACCGGAUAAGCCCUAACGGGGAAAGAUUUAUCGCCGAAAGAUCGGCCCGCGUCUGAUUAGCUAGUUGGUGAGGUAACGGCUCACCAAGGCGACGAUCAGUAGCUGGUCUGAGAGGAUGAUCAGCCACACUGGGACUGAGACACGGCCCAGACUCCUACGGGAGGCAGCAGUGGGGAAUAUUGGACAAUGGGCGCAGGCCUGAUCCAGCCAUGCCGCGUGAGUGAUGAAGGCCUUAGGGUUGUAAAGCUCUUUUGUCCGGGAAGAUAAUGACUGUACCGGAAGAAUAAGCCCCGGCUAACUUCGUG